This 1614-nucleotide ribosomal RNA is filed under the name metagenome. Its description in RNAcentral is "bacterial LSU rRNA". It matches the Rfam family "Bacterial large subunit ribosomal RNA", at positions 1297 to 2925 of the family's 2925-position model. The record is from RNAcentral.
GCGGUAUGAGUAGCGCAAGACAGGUGAGAAUCCUGUCCACCGUAAGACUAAGGUUUCCAGGGGAAGGCUCGUCCGCCCUGGGUUAGUCGGGACCUAAGGAGAGGCCGAAUGGCGUAUCCGAUGGACAACAGGUUGAUAUUCCUGUACUAGGUUAUAUAGUGAUUGGAGGGACGCAGUAGGCUAAGGUAAGCCAGUUAAUGGAUUCUGGUCUAAGCAGUGAGGUUUGGUAUGAGUCAAAUGCUUGUACCUCUAAGAUUGAGCUGUGAUGGGGAAGCACUUUCGAGUGCGAAGUACCUGAUGUCACACUGCCAAGAAAAUCUUCUAGCGUUUAAUUAUAACCUACCCGUACCGCAAACCGACACAGGUAGUCGAGGCGAGUAGCCUCAGGUGAGCGAGAGAACUCUCGUUAAGGAACUCGGCAAAAUGACCCCGUAACUUCGGGAGAAGGGGUGCUCUACAUUUGUAGAGCCGCAGUGAAUAGGCCCAAGCGACUGUUUAUCAAAAACACAGCUCUCUGCUAAAUCGUAAGAUGAUGUAUAGGGGGUGACGCCUGCCCGGUGCUGGAAGGUUAAGAGGAGUGCUUAGCGUAAGCGAAGGUAUGAAUUGAAGCCCCAGUAAACGGCGGCCGUAACGAUAACGGUCCUAAGGUAGCGAAAUUCCUUGUCGGGUAAGUUCCGACCCGCACGAAAGGCGUAACGAUUUGGGCACUGUCUCAACGAGAGACUCGGUGAAAUUUUAGUACCUGUGAAGAUGCAGGUUACCCGCGACAGGACGGAAAGACCCCAUGGAGCUUUACUGCAAGUUGAUAUUGAGUAUCUGUUGCACAUGUACAGGAUAGGUAGGAGCCAUUGAUCUGAGGACGCUAGUUUUCAGUGAGGCGAUGUUGGGAUACUACCCUUGUGUCAUGGCUACUCUAACCCGCAUGCCUAAUCGGCAUGGGAGACAGUGUCUGCUGGGCAGUUUGACUGGGGCGGUCGCCUCCUAAAGAGUAACGGAGGCGCUCAAAGUUUCCCUCAGCAUGGUUGGAAAUCAUGCGUAGAGUGUAAAGGUAUAAGGGAGAUUGACUGCGAGACUUACAAGUCGAGCAGGUACGAAAGUAGGACUUAGUGAUCCGGUGGUACCGCAUGGAAGGGCCAUCGCUCAACGGAUAAAAGCUACCCUGGGGAUAACAGGCUUAUCUCCCCCAAGAGUUCACAUCGACGGGGAGGUUUGGCACCUCGAUGUCGGCUCGUCGCAUCCUGGGGCUGUAGUCGGUCCCAAGGGUUGGGCUGUUCGCCCAUUAAAGCGGCACGCGAGCUGGGUUCAGAACGUCGUGAGACAGUUCGGUCCCUAUCCGUCGCGGGCGUAGGAAAUUUGAGAGGAUCUGCCCUUAGUACGAGAGGACCGGGGUGGACUUACCGCUGGUGUACCAGUUGUCUUGCCAAAGGCAUCGCUGGGUAGCUAUGUAGGGAACGGAUAAACGCUGAAAGCAUCUAAGUGUGAAACCAACCUCAAGAUGAGAUUUCCCAUUCUUUAUGAAUUAAGAGCCCUGAGAGAUGAUCAGGUAGAUAGGCUAGAAGUGGAUGGACAGUGAUGUUUGGAGCGGACUAGUACUAAUAGCUCGAGGACUUUACC